UUUAAUAAAAAAUAAUUCUCUGGUAGACCAGGAAAUCAGUCAAUAUCCCCGACAUAAUGUUUUUUCUUCCAUCAUUCAAAAGUCGAUUUUGAAUCCGAGUGAAUGUUCUAAUUUUUAUGCAACUCCAAACGCCUCCCUGUGGAUCGACCUCUUACAACCGCUAUUCUUUGAGUAGAACAGGUAAGAGUAAAAAUUUAAAUUUAACUUUUGUUCGUCGGUUCUAACAACGAUCUGUUUAGCAUAUUUUUAGUUAGACACGAAAGGAUGAACAAUAUUAUUUUCAAUAAUUAAAUUCUGCGAUUCUUGAUUAAGGAUCAAUCAGAUAGAAUAGUUCUAAUCAUGGAGUAUACAAUUUGAAAACAUGAAUUCAAGAUCUAAGCAUUUAUCGUGCCGAUUACGUCUACGACAAAUCAAACAUCGAAAUAAUCCAUGAAUCAAGAAAUAUAAACCAUAAAAGAUCUAUCUCAUAAAUAAACAUGCAAGAAUCAAAAACAUAUGAAUAGAUGUAAAUCAAAGAGAUCAAUUGUUCAGAAUUUACUUGAAAGAAAAUAAGACAUCAAAGGUUCCUCCAUCACCCUUCACAAGAUAUCAGCCCUCCAUUAAAAUAUUAGCCUCUCCCUCUUUUUUUUUUUAUUUCUUUUCGGAAGAACAGGGCAUGCCCUGUUUCUUCCUUUUUUUUUUUUUCUACAACAGCUGAUGCUCUAUUUUUCGAAUGAGGGAUCCCCCAGCUCUUUCCCAGCCGAGCAAGAUAUAUCCAGCUCCCUCCCUUCCCUUCUCGCACCAGAUGAAGAUGAGCGGACCGGAUGGACUUUUGAGGCGUUGAUCGCGGGAUGAGGCGAUCAUCCGGGAUGCGGAUGCUGGCUGGCCGCGAGAUACCCGGACGCAGGAUCCUGCUUUGAUGCUGGAAUGGAGAUCUGAUCGCGAACGGAAGGAGGAUUGGAGCUGGGAUCUGUUGGAAUGCAAGGAAGAUGAACCGUGGACGGUUGCGGGAUGAUCACACGCGCUGGGAGAAGCUGUGAAUGCGGAAGAGGUGGACGA
RNAcentral lists this long non-coding RNA (1038 nucleotides) under Phoenix dactylifera (date palm). RNAcentral describes it as "long non-coding RNA (PDAC_LNC016294)". The record is from RNAcentral. Lineage: Eukaryota; Viridiplantae; Streptophyta; Magnoliopsida; Arecales; Arecaceae.